UAGAUAGUAAAACAUUAUUUAUUCCUUUUAUAAAUCAUUUUGCUGGCUGAAGUAAGUUUUUACUUUAUAAAGUAAAUCCAAUUACUUACCUAAGGGGACAUCCCAGAUUGGAUUUUCCUCUUCUGAUGAAUCAAGGCUUUCAUCACGUGCACAAUCUUCUAAAUCCAUGUUUAUUUGCACGUUUGAGUUGUCUGGGGUUGUAGCAUGUUUGGUCCAAGCUCCAUCACGAAAAAACAUUUGUCACGUCUGUAAGUUACACAACAUCGUUUGAAAACUUUUGUUUCCAGCCAAUGUAACGUUAUGUGUGCAUGUAUUAAAGCGUUUUUCAUUCAAUGUUACAGGAAGCUGUAAGGCGCCUUCACAAUUCGGAAAACAACCCACAUAAAUAUGAUCCACAAACUGGGUAAGACUGCUGUUUUUCUGCUAUGUUUAUUUGGCCUUUGUGGGCCAUGCUGUUUAUGGGGUUUUACAUAUUCCUUUUAAAUGUAUUUAAUGACACACUUCUCUCUUUCCACACAGAAUAAGUUUGCCUCGUAACCAAGCAGUCAUGACUUAUCUGCUAGAGGAAUUGAAAACAACUUUUGCAGAUGCAGACCCUGAGUGUAUACAAGCGUGUUGCAAGACAUACUUUGAAACACUUCGGAGAAAGUACAAUUUGUCUCAGCCAGAAAAGUCCCAGCUAAGAGAUGCCAUUAAAACAGGAGCUAAAAACCGACAAAGGAAAAGACGGUUGCUGGAUUCCAGGUCCAAGGUUGUUCAAACCGAUGCAGAGAGAGAGCUUUGGCAGACUGCAACAGUGGAGCUGAUGUCUGACGAGGAGGAUGCCAUUGUUGAUGGAAGGCCAGUGUGGAUUGUGAGGUCUCCAUCUCACAGGAACCCACAAUUGUCAGAACUUUGUGAGGAGCUUCAGCGCAGAUUGGAGGCAGACAUGCGCUACACUAUUUUGCAUCAUCAGCGUGUUAAGGCUGAUGGAAAUGGACAUGAUGGACCUUCCUUUCUUCAACUUUAACUAAACUGCACUGGUUUUUGCAAUUUUUAAUA
Long non-coding RNA from Cyprinus carpio carpio, 1041 nucleotides. NCBI's taxonomy places the organism in Eukaryota, Metazoa, Chordata, Actinopteri, Cypriniformes, Cyprinidae. The record is from Ensembl.